RNAcentral lists this ribosomal RNA (250 nucleotides) under uncultured bacterium. RNAcentral's name for it is "partial 16S ribosomal RNA". It matches the Rfam family "Bacterial small subunit ribosomal RNA", at positions 524 to 773 of the family's 1533-position model. The record is from RNAcentral.
UACGGAGGGUGCAAGCGUUAAUCGGAAUUACUGGGCGUAAAGCGCGCGUAGGCGGUUCAACAAGUCCGUCGUGAAAGCCCCGGGCUUAACCUGGGAAUGGCGGUGGAUACUGUUGGGCUAGAGUGUGGUAGAGGGGAGUGGAAUUUCCGGUGUAGCAGUGAAAUGCGUAGAGAUCGGAAGGAACACCAGUGGCGAAGGCGGCUCCCUGGACCAACACUGACGCUGAGGUGCGAAAGCGUGGGGAGCAAAC